CAAAGCCUCUCCAUGAAAUUCCAAAGUCAACAGUCAAACACACCUCAACUCCUCUCCUACCCACUGCAGUGAAAAUAAGGAUAUUUACUUUUUUCUCUCUAGCUUCUAUCACCAUCAUGGGCAGUCUCACUCAACAUAUGUGUUAGAUAUGUAAGAUCUACAUGCAAAAAGUUGGGGUGGGUAAAAUUAGAGGGUGUAGAGGUGAAAUUAGCAUCUUGAGUAAGAGGGACAGAAAGAGCUGUGAAGAACACAUAAUGCUACUAAGAGACAUUACUCCUUACUUCUCUUUUCUUCCUUCACCAGGAUCUAAAGAUGGUACCAGAGAUUUUUCUCUUUGUUGCUACACUUUUACCUUUGGUAACCAUUUCUGCAAAAUAGUUGGAUCCAAACAAGUUGUCUUUGAAACAUUUUGACUAAAUUGUAUAGUGAGAAGACUUCUGCUUCCAGACAUGGUAAAGUGACAGGGACCAAAUCCUAAACAAGGCAUGAGAAAAAAACAAAGAUGGUGAGAUCUGUUGAGAUCUGUAAAGGAUACAGAGAUGGAAGAAGCAGCAACACGUGAGAGCUCUGGAGAAUGGAAUGGGGAGUACAUCACUCCACGGAAUCUCUUUGCUACUGUUUUCUUUAGAAACAACUCACAGUUGUGUGGGCUGGCAGAAGAGGAGAAAACAGUUCCUGCAUCCCAACCAGAGAGAAAUUUGACUUCAAGAAAGGAAACCGCCUCCAAGGAAGAACAAAAAGAAACCAGUGCCUCUCCAAAGGCUAUCAGAGGCUAGCAAGCAAGAGACCAGUAUUUCUGCAUCUCAUUAUUGGACCACCAAGACAAGCAGCUGAGCCUCAUUCUGUCCAGGAGCAAAUCUGGUGACUCCCUCGAGAUGGAGCUGUGGUCAGUGGCCAAUGGCUAGCAAGGAGAUGGUCAUCGGGAGACCCCAGCAACUGCCUGGUAUGGUUUUUCCUGGGGACUCUCUGAGGACCUUUCUGGCUACAAAGACUACACCAUCCCUCUAUUACUGGGAAAGAAGAGAGAUUGGGAACAGUUGCACUCAAAGGUUAAGCAAAGCUGGACCCUAAGCCAGGAGUCUAUUAUUUCUUCUAUUUGGGCUCAUGUAGCCAUUUGUUUGGGUACUAUGGAGGUAAUAAUAGGACUUCUUGGGAUAUGUGUUUUGCAUUUGUUUGAGGAAUUCAUUUAUAUUUGUUUUUGAAAAUUUGUUUGUUCUGUUUGUUUGAUAUUUGUUAAGUUUAGAGUACUCAGUAUGAUCAACACUGCAUCUACCCCUACAAAUAGUCCUCUAGGGAGACUUUUAUCAGAUUGAAAGCACUUUGGUUAUCCACUCAUAACUAAAAGAAAUUAAUCUUCUAUUUUGACACAGCCUGGCCAAUGUGUGUUUUGGAAUCUAAGGAACUGUGACCAGUUUUUGGAUCUUUACAUGUCCAUACUAUUUAUCAAUUAAAAUUGCUGUGCCGAGGUCAGACAAAUGGGGUGAAAUAUCUUACUUUGAGACAUUUAUGUUGCUGCAUAAUAAGGAUGCUAAAGAAAAAGAAAAUAAGUUAAUGAUGCAAGGCACUGCUAAAGCCUAUCCUGACACCCCAGGGGAGGAACAGAAAACUUCUGAAACCCAACAGUUUAUGAAUAUACUGAACCCUAUAGUAGCUACUGCCCCAGCUCAGGAAAGAGAGGGGAUGUCACCUCCAGAGUGCAGGGAGACAGCAGGGCUACUGUCUCCCUCUUGGACUAGGCAAGAUACUAAUUUUGGUCAGGGAAUCAGCAAGUCUGGAGCUGGGCAGUUCCAACUAGAGCAAUAUCUAGUAGGAGUCAAUCAGUAAGGAGCUCCAGUGGGAUAUAUUGGGCUUAUAAUAUCACAAUAUUGGCUACACACUGUGCCAUCUGGGCAGAUGUGCAUGCAGGCUCUUCUAAACAUGCUCAUGGCAGAUAAGUGGUGACUGGUUUUAAAUGAAGCAAAGGAAGAGCCACAACAUCUUCACAAUGAACAUCCAGAACCUGAUGGAGCAAUUCCUUGCACAGAUCUAAACUGGAAUAUUGUAGCAGACAUACAUCCCACUGUAGCUAACCCAUAUACUAUGUCCAUUUCUCUUCCUGGAGAUCAUAAAUCAUUUAUAGUAUUGGAUUUGAAAUAUGCUUUCUUGGCCAGGCGUGGUAGUUGAUGCCUGUAAUUCCAGCACUUUGGUGAGCUGAGGUAGGUGGAUCACUUGAGGUCAGGAGUUCAAGACCAGCCUGGCCAACAUGGUAAAACCCUGUCUCUACUAAAAAUACAAAAAUUAGCUGUGUGUGAUGCCAGGUGCCUGUAAUCUCAGUUACUUAGGAGGCUAGGCAGGAGAAUCAGUUGAACCAGGGAGGCGCAGGUUGCAGUGAGCCAAGAUUGUGCCAUUGCACUCUAGCCUGCGUAACAAGAGCAAAACUCCAUCUCCAGAAAAAAAA
Callithrix jacchus (white-tufted-ear marmoset) is the source of this 2437-nucleotide long non-coding RNA. RefSeq lists it as uncharacterized. NCBI's taxonomy places the organism in Eukaryota, Metazoa, Chordata, Mammalia, Primates, Cebidae. The record is from RefSeq and is a predicted model, not a curated record.